AUAUCUCUCUGUACGGGAAGGAUGAGAAGCUUCGACUAAGGUUCGAUUCGAGCGAAAGCGAGAAAGCGUUGCCAA
RNAcentral lists this small RNA (75 nucleotides) under Salmonella enterica. RNAcentral describes it as "partial RtT sRNA". It matches the Rfam family "RtT RNA", at positions 1 to 74 of the family's 130-position model. From Rfam's summary of the family: This family represents a bacterial cis-regulatory element known as RtT RNA. The exact function of RtT is unknown although it is thought that it may be involved in changing the cellular response in relation to amino acid starvation. The record is from RNAcentral. Lineage: Bacteria; Pseudomonadati; Pseudomonadota; Gammaproteobacteria; Enterobacterales; Enterobacteriaceae.